CCUACGGGAGGCAGCAGUGAGGAAUAUUGGACAAUGGACGAGAGUCUGAACCAGCAAAGUAGCGUGAAGGAUGAAGGCCCUAUGGGUGGUAAACUUCUUUUAUAUGGGAAUAAAAUGUUCCACGUGUGGGAUUUUGUAUGUACCAUAUGAAUAAGGAUCGGCUAACUCCGGGCCGGCAGCCGCGGUAAUACGGGGGAUACGAGGGUUAUCCGGAUUUAUUGGGUGUAAAGGGAGCGUAGGUGGAUUGUUAAGUCAGUUGUGAAAGUUUGCGGCUCAACCGUAAAAUUGCAGUUGAAACUGGCAGUCUUGAGUACAGUAGAGGUGGGCGGAAUUCGUGGUGUAGCGGUGAAAUGCUUAGAUAUCACGAAGAACUCCGAUUGCGAAGGCAGCUCACUGGACUGCAACUGACACUGAGGCUCGAAAGUGUGGGUAUCAAACAGGAUUAGAUACCCUGGUAGUC
This 460-nucleotide ribosomal RNA is filed under the name uncultured bacterium. Its description in RNAcentral is "partial 16S ribosomal RNA". It matches the Rfam family "Bacterial small subunit ribosomal RNA", at positions 338 to 795 of the family's 1533-position model. The record is from RNAcentral.